This 253-nucleotide ribosomal RNA is filed under the name uncultured bacterium. RNAcentral describes it as "partial 16S ribosomal RNA". It matches the Rfam family "Bacterial small subunit ribosomal RNA", at positions 524 to 776 of the family's 1533-position model. The record is from RNAcentral.
UACAGAGGUCUCAAGCGUUGUUCGGAUUCAUUGGGCGUAAAGGGUGCGUAGGCGGCGCGGUAAGUCGGGUGUGAAAUCUCGGAGCUUAACUCCGAAACUGCAUUCGAUACUGCCGUGCUUGAGGACUGGAGAGGAGACUGGAAUUUACGGUGUAGCGGUGAAAUGCGUAGAUAUCUGGAGGAACACCGGUGGCGAAGGCGGCAUCCUGGACCGGUAUUGACACUGAGGCGCGAAAGCCAGGGGAGCAAACGGG